CGUUCUUAUCAAAACGAAAAAAUAAUAAACAAGUCUGCCGGCUCUUUUUUUCGCGUCUCGGAAUUUACUAAUACUACUUUUAAAGGUACGAGUUUGCGGCCCACACGUUCGCAAAUCCCACGAAUACUUUAUCAUCCAAACAAGCAAUAAAGUUUAUGUCGAGUGAUAGACUUACAGUUCCAUCUGAAGAAAAAGUAACCAAAGUUUGGUUACCAAACUAACAUUCAUUGUUAUAUUUUGAUAUUGCGAAGGAAAACUGCAGUAACCUUCUAAUAUACCUACAUAAGUGUAACCUAAUUAAUUAUAAGUUUAUUUAUUGUUUUAGGUAUUUGAAAGCGUUAUUCGUUGGGUAAGACAUGAAUUGGGUUCAAAAAAAAAUUGAAACAUUACAUAUAAAAAAAGUAGGUAGUUGAGGAACUUCUUUUUAAGAAUUGUUUUAAAUGUAAAGAUUACAUAAUAGAGGCAUUACAUUUUCAUAUUAUAUUCAAGUCAGAAGAGCUUAUUCCGCAGAACAUCUGGUAUAAAUCCAGACAUGGGGAUAAAGUUAUUUUCGUGAUUGGUGGUGAGAAUAUGGAUAUAAUAGGAAUUGAUGAAAUAGGAAAAAAUAGUAUAGAAUGGUUAGACACAAAAAUUAACAGAUGGCAUUUUGGACCAUAAAUGAUAACAAGCCGUCAAGGAACUAAUCUAGCAGUAGUGAAUGAAAAUUUAGUGUUUGCUGUUGGUGGUUUUGAUGAUUAUGAUGAAUCUCUUCGGUCAGUUGACGUGCAAGAUUUAUCUUCAGAACCGCCUUGUUGGAAACCUAGUGUCGACAUGUUGGCAGAAUCAAUUACAGAGAAGGUAUAUUAAAUAGUCCAGAAGAUUUUGACUACAAAACUCAAGAAUGGCGUAUGCUAAUUUUUAUGUCUACUGAAAAAUCUUUUGUCGGGGUCGUAAUACUGAAUAAUCUUUUAUACGCAGUAGGAGGUUAUGAUGAAUCAUCGCAGGCUUUAGACACUGUUGAAUGUUAUCAUCCCAGUCUUGAUACAUGGACGCCAGUCACAAAAAUGUCUGUACAUCAUAGUGGUGCAGUUGUAGGAGUUUUUGACGGUGUACUAUAUGCUGUGGGUGGUUGUGAUGGAUCAAACAGUCUGAGUAUUGUUGAAGCAUACAGACCAAAUUGUCCAAAUUGACCAAAGUGUUUAGGCUGCUGUUGCAAACAUGAAUUUACCUCAACAAUUGGCCGGAGUAGUUGCAAUGGAUGGUUUAUUGUAUGUUGUCGAUGGAGAAGACGGAACUUCAUUUUUCAGUUCUACAGAAUGUUACAGGCUCAAAACCAAUAAUUGGACUUUGUUAACAGCG
Long non-coding RNA from Acyrthosiphon pisum (pea aphid), 1338 nucleotides. RefSeq lists it as uncharacterized. The record is from RefSeq and is a predicted model, not a curated record. NCBI's taxonomy places the organism in Eukaryota, Metazoa, Arthropoda, Insecta, Hemiptera, Aphididae. The transcript has 6 exons.